Molecule: ribosomal RNA, 423 nt
Filed under: uncultured bacterium
Lineage: Bacteria
Description: partial 16S ribosomal RNA
Rfam family: Bacterial small subunit ribosomal RNA
Source: RNAcentral
GAAUUUUGGACAAUGGGGGCAACCCUGAUCCAGCCAUCCCGCGUGUGCGAUGAAGGCCCCCGGGUUGUAAAGCAAUUUUGGCAGGGAAGAAAAGGUUCUGGCUAAUACCUGGAGCUGCUGACGGUACCGGCCGAAUACGGCCCGGCUCACUACCUGCCAGCCCCCGCGGUAAUACGUAGGGUGCAAUCGUUAAUCCGAAUUACUGGGGGUAAAGCGUGCGCAAGCGGUUUGGCAAGAAGGAUGUUGAAUCCCAGGGCUUAACCUUGGAACUGCAUUCUUAACUGCCAGGUUAGAGUAUGUCAGAGGGGGGUAGGAUUCCACGUGUAGCAGUGAAAUGCGUAGAGAUGUGGAGGAAUACCGAUGGCGAAGGCAGCCCCCUGGGAUAAUACUGACGCUCAUGCACGAAAGCGUGGGGAGCAAACA